ACUGGUUUUAGUUAAACAGACAAAAAAAACCCAGAAACUGCUGGAAUAUUUAACAAUAUUCAAACUUUCUUUAAAGUGAUUUACAUCAUGUCACUCAGUGUAUGCAUCCAUUUAAUACAUGUUAACUGAUAUAAUAUGAAGUUCAAAGAACAACACUUGUCAAGCACUAUAUUGUUGUGCAAAAUAAUUUCUGUACAAAGUUUCUUUUGUAACAGCCACAGAUAUGCCUCAGAAAAAAUAUUAACAACCAAGUUGUGAUAAUUAUGUUCUUUUUUACAUUUGUAGAUCUGACCAUGGUUAUUGAAGUGGAUGUAAUAUGUUAGCAAGGAUAAGCUACAAAUUUAUCUGAUUCUCUUAAGAAAGGCAAGUUUAUGCCACAAAGGAACAGUUGUUGCCUUACUAUAGAAGUUCCUCCCAUACAUUAGCCAAUAUCAAACCAUGGACUGAUGCUUGCUGGACAAGUUGUUUAAUAUUUGAUAGAGGACCUCCAUGUGAAUUGAUACUGUGACAUUAAACAUUGUAUAUCUAUGGCAAGUGAUUGACACAGAGUUGUGUGCUGGGCAGUGCCGUGUGGGGGACGGGUAGAGGAGCAUGUUGCUUAAUGAGUUGCAAAAAUUGCAAUAAAGAUAUAAUACAACCAAUUUAGACAUUGUUUAUGACUGGUAAAGACCAUCAACUUGGGCAGUUUUUGCAAGAUUAAUAAAACAUUCAUUAUUUUAUUAGGUUCUUGAUAUUAGAUCAUCCUCUUUGCCAAAUUAUGUUCUAACACAGAGCAGCAGUACCAUAUGGAAAAUGGGGCCAAUACAAAAAUGAAACUUUUUGAUUGGUUGAGAAAAUGGGCUGAGUGUAAAAAAAUUGAAAUGUCAGGUGUUUUUAACAAAUUUUUUAAAAUUUAUCAUUUCUAAAUUUCCGUAUUUGUAAUUUUAAGUUUAUUUGAUACAUAAAUAUUGAUGUUAGUCCCUUAUCGGUUUAACCAGAGGUGACUAGGUUACCUUCUGUAUGUCCGUCUGUCCACCAAACUGGAUCCCUUGGUGAUGCAAAAAGUACUGAAAAUACUAAUGAAUGAAGCUUGAAAUAUGGGUAAAUGGCUGUAUGGAAAUUAUGAACAUCUUCUUUUCUUACUUUGUUGAUAAAUUUGGCUGCUAUGGCAACAAAUAGACUUAAAAUAUGGCAAAUAUAACAAAAUUUGGUAUUACUCAAAAGUACUGAAAACAUUUAUAUUAAACUUAAAAUAUGAAUAAAUGGCAUCAUGACCUUACGGCCAUUUUGCAUGUCAAGGUUCACAACUCUAGCACCAAAUUUAUUAGAUUUAUCCCCCUUGAACUUACAAUUUUCACAA
This is a long non-coding RNA of Ruditapes philippinarum (Manila clam), 1339 nucleotides long. RefSeq lists it as uncharacterized. Lineage: Eukaryota; Metazoa; Mollusca; Bivalvia; Venerida; Veneridae. The transcript is spliced from 3 exons. The record is from RefSeq and is a predicted model, not a curated record.